AACGAACGCUGGCGGCAGGCCUAACACAUGCAAGUCGAACGCCGUAGCAAUACGGAGUGGCAGACGGGUGAGUAACACGUGGGAACAUACCCUUCGGUUCGGAAUAACUCAGGGAAACUUGAGCUAAUACCGGAUACGUCCGCGAGGAGAAAGAUUCAUCGCCGGAGGAUUGGCCCGCGUCUGAUUAGCUUGUUGGUGAGGUAACGGCUCACCAAGGCGACGAUCAGUAGCUGGUCUGAGAGGAUGAUCAGCCACAUUGGGACUGAGACACGGCCCAAACUCCUACGGGAGGCAGCAGUGGGGAAUAUUGGACAAUGGGCGCAAGCCUGAUCCAGCCAUGCCGCGUGAGUGAUGAAGGCCCUAGGGUUGUAAAGCUCUUUACCCGGGAAGAUAAUGACUGUACCGGGAGAAUAAGCCCCGGCUAACUUCGU
This 431-nucleotide ribosomal RNA is filed under the name uncultured bacterium. RNAcentral describes it as "bacterial SSU rRNA". It matches the Rfam family "Bacterial small subunit ribosomal RNA", at positions 29 to 506 of the family's 1533-position model. The record is from RNAcentral.